CAGCCGCCGCGGUAAUACGUAGGGUGCGAGCGUUAAUCGGAUUUACUGGGCGUAAAGCGUGCGCAGGCGGCCCGUUAAGACAGGUGUGAAAUCCCUGGGCUCAACCUAGGAAUUGCGCUUGUGACUGGCGGGCUCGAGUACGGUAGAGGGGGGUGGAAUUCCUGGUGUAGCAGUGAAAUGCGUAGAGAUCAGGAGGAACACCGAUGGCGAAGGCAGCCCCCUGGGCCUGUACUGACGCUCAUGCACGAAAGCGUGGGGAGCAAACAGGAUUAGAUACCCUGGUAGUCCACGCCCUAAACGAUGGGUACUAGCCGUUUGGUGCGCGAUAGCGCUGAGUGGCGAAGCUAACGCGUGAAGUACCCCGCCUGGGGAGUACGGCCGCAAGGUUGAAACUUAAACGAAUUGGCGGG
Molecule: ribosomal RNA, 410 nt
Filed under: uncultured microorganism
Description: bacterial SSU rRNA
Rfam family: Bacterial small subunit ribosomal RNA
Source: RNAcentral